GAUGAACGCUGGCGGCGUGCUUAACACAUGCAAGUCGAACGAAGCACUUUAUUUGAUUUCCUUCGUGACUGAUUAUUUUGUGACUGAGUGGCGGACGGGUGAGUAACGCGUGGGUAACCUGCCUUGUACAGGGGGAUAACAGUUGGAAACGGCUGCUAAUACCGCAUAAGCGCACAGCAUCGCAUGAUGCAGUGUGAAAAACUCCGGUGGUAUAAGAUGGACCCGCGUUGGAUUAGCUAGUUGGUGAGGUAACGGCCCACCAAGGCGACGAUACAUAGCCGACCUGAGAGGGUGACCGGCCACAUUGGGACUGAGACACGGCCCAAACUCCUACGGGAGGCAGCAGUGGGGAAUAUUGCACAAUGGGCGAAAGCCUGAUGCAGCGACGCCGCGUGAGCGAAGAAGUAUUUCGGUAUGUAAAGCUCUAUCAGCAGGGAAGAUAAUGACGGUACCUGAAUAAGAAGCACCGGCUAAAUACGUG
RNAcentral lists this ribosomal RNA (481 nucleotides) under uncultured bacterium. Its description in RNAcentral is "partial 16S ribosomal RNA". It matches the Rfam family "Bacterial small subunit ribosomal RNA", at positions 28 to 507 of the family's 1533-position model. The record is from RNAcentral.